Galeopterus variegatus (Sunda flying lemur) is the source of this 399-nucleotide long non-coding RNA. RefSeq lists it as uncharacterized. Lineage: Eukaryota; Metazoa; Chordata; Mammalia; Dermoptera; Cynocephalidae. The record is from RefSeq and is a predicted model, not a curated record. The transcript has 3 exons.
UUAUUUUCUCGCAGGGACUCUUGCUACCAGGAGAAUAGGGCCUGAUGGAUCAAGACUGGUCUCUUUCCACGUUAUUACAAGGACAAAAUCCAGAACAUUCCCAGCCCUCACAAUUUGCUGAGGAGAUGAACUGUGAAGAACACAGACUGAUAGGAGCCUGGUGUGGACAGGCCAGCGGAAGGGGCAGAAGGUGAUGGCCUGGAAGGACACCCGGCUGCCAGAGCUCCUGCUCUCUGCCUGGUGGGGCUGCUGCGGGCUUUGCUGCAUCUGAGCAGCUUAUAGAGCUCAGCAGCCCCCAGGCCUUGGAGUAGAGGGACCGUCACUCACGUGGGACACCAGGACAUGUGCUCAGCUCCGACACCACGGCCCAGCAGCCUCUCUUUUCCUGACAACCUUGGC